RNAcentral lists this transfer RNA (68 nucleotides) under Incisitermes minor. Its description in RNAcentral is "tRNA-Arg". The record is from RNAcentral. Lineage: Eukaryota; Metazoa; Arthropoda; Insecta; Blattodea; Kalotermitidae.
AAGCAAGAAGCGAUCAAUCGCAACCAAUUUCGACCUGGUUUACAGGUAGGAUUCUCUACCCUUGUUUA